Molecule: ribosomal RNA, 253 nt
Filed under: uncultured bacterium
Lineage: Bacteria
Description: partial 16S ribosomal RNA
Rfam family: Bacterial small subunit ribosomal RNA
Source: RNAcentral
UACGUAGGGGGCAAGCGUUGUCCGGAUUUAUUGGGCGUAAAGAGCUUGUAGGCGGUUUGUCGCGUCUGCCGUGAAAAUUCGAGGCUCAACCUCGAACUUGCGGUGGGUACGGGCAGACUAGAGUGUGGUAGGGGAGACUGGAAUUCCUGGUGUAGCGGUGAAAUGCGCAGAUAUCAGGAGGAACACCGAUGGCGAAGGCAGGUCUCUGGGCCACUACUGACGCUGAGAAGCGAAAGCAUGGGGAGCGAACAGG